Long non-coding RNA from Micropterus salmoides (largemouth bass), 2800 nucleotides. RefSeq lists it as uncharacterized. The transcript has 2 exons. The record is from RefSeq and is a predicted model, not a curated record. Lineage: Eukaryota; Metazoa; Chordata; Actinopteri; Centrarchiformes; Centrarchidae.
UUUUAGCCACGCCAGGCCUCUAGGCAUGGUGAUGUUGGUCCAGACCGAAAUAUCUUGACUAAAGAAGAAAGCCUACAGGAAACCUUAACUGUUCACAUUAGGGCCUGCUAACAUGAGGAUGUUAGCACUGAGCUCAUAGCUAAGCCAAAGUACAGCUGACAGGCUGACAGUGCACAGUUAAAAGCGAUAAAGGACAGAUGAUAAAGGGUUCAGUAUGCUUGGAACAACCUAGCUCGUGCGACGAGUUGUCCGACCACAUCUGAAGGCGAAUGUGUUUGUAGCUGCUUGAAUGGUGAAGCAAAAAGCCUGCUGUCAAAGAGAGAGGUUGGUUAAGUGGCGCUCACCUGAGGUUGGGACGGUUGGAGACGGACUCAUAUCUGGGCAGCUGAAGGGAGGAUGCAGAUGACGCUGGAGAAAAUCCAUUCCUAAAACAUCCUGCAGGAAAACCACACAGACACGUUCCACCGUUAAUAUGGUUUUGAGAAAGUUGAGUGAUGUCUAGUUUUGCCUGGAGGUUUGUUUGUUCUGAGUGGAACUGAAAUGGCUUCAGGAGUACAUGAACUCUGAUACAUUCUGACUGAUGUGUCAAAAAAAGGCUGAUCGUUUUAAACUUCACUCAACAUUAUCCAACAUUUUGUUUCUAUCUGACAGUUUUUGCAGCAGCAUGUAGACCACCAGUGGACACUUGGGUUCCUUCCACACAAAGUCCGCGUUGAGCUGCUUUCUCUCCUGGCUGUGUUUUGGUGUAUUUUAUCAUUUUGAUGUGUUGGUCUCAUUAAGUUACUGUUUUAGAUUGGUUGUUUUUAUGAUUGUUUUAGAAAUGUUAUUCAUGAUUUGAAAAACCCCUUUUUGUGUAACUCUGAUUUUGUGGAUAAUUCUGUUCUUGCAUCUAUAUCUUAUUGUUGUUGCUGCCUGUCUCAGCCAAGACCCUUCUGAAAAACUAGUGUUGAAUCUCAUUGAGGCUUUCCUGGCUAAACAAAGGAAAGACAAAACUUUGCAGGGUCUAAUUAUCCAUGUAAACUGUUCAAGCCCAAGUCUUUUCUCACAUAUCAACAGCGGCCUAUAUCCAGCACACCUGGUUGCUAGUUUUAUGAUCUAUAAGUAUAUUGGUCUAAAUUCAGGUGCAAACACUGUCCCAACACAAGUCUGUGUGCUGCAAACUGGAACUGACUCUCAGCCCAAAUCUGCCACGUACUGGAAAGAGCCAGCCCCGGGACUACAGUCGAACAUUACCCAAGCUGGCUAAACUGGCACAUUUACAGAAAUAUCAGCUCACAAUUUAUCAGUGCGCAAUGUCUCUGUAAACGUAAACUCUAUAAAUAAAAUAAAUUAGGUCUUUCAGGCCCAGCUGACUGGAUACCUGUGGAUUGUGCACCGCAGGACACAAUCGUCAAAUUUAAGACAUUUUAAAACCUUUUUGGUCCUUUACCUGAGAAUGUUGCUACUUUUGUUCCAAAUAAGUCAUGGAGGAAGAUUUCUGCAAAGACAGCUAAAGUACGAUAAUUACCUGAAAGUCAAGCUUAAAACAUACAGUCGCAGGAAGAGUUAUGGGUUCAGGUGCAUGUGGGAAAGUGGUUUAAAUGAACCUCUUUUAAAAGAAAAACAAUCUAUCACACCUGCUCAAUGAUAAUAAGUUUACUAUCUGAAGCAGCAGACUGUGCACACACCUUGCAUAAAUUGGCAAUUCCGUCAAAUUCAUUCAUUUACAAAACAUGUUGUCAAAUAAGUUUAAAAAUAAAUAAAUGUAUCUGAAAUGUAGCUGCAUACUUUUUCUGAUUAAAUUUCUGUAGCUGAGGUCAGUGAACAAGUCAGAUGUUUGAUGAACAUCUAAAUGUAUAUACACACACACACAUUUAUUGAUUCUUACUCUCAGACUAUUUCACUUAUGCAGUGUGAAACUCAUAUUUAAAUUGUAGUUAUUUUAUUUAACUUAUUCAGAGUUACUGGCAGUGAUUUGUAAAAUAGCCCCACACCAGAUUAUCCUGUGAUCCAGCUGUGAUAAUAAUAUAAAGGGCUGAUACAGAGAAUUAAAGUGUAGAAGAGAAAGAAACAGUUUGGUUUGGUUCUGUAAUGUCACGCAGGUUACACACUGCUAAAUGUUUCAGAUGGAGACAAUACCUGGUUGAAAUGUUCUUCUUCUUCCCUGAAUGUGUGGCCUGCAAGAGAGAAGAAAAAUUAUAAAUACACAUUUAUUCUAGGUCUCAUAGGCAGAUGGGUUCAGAUCCACACUGAAGACGAGCUGUUGUGCUGUAAAACAGCCACUUAAAAGAGGUGUUUUUAGGACAGACUUCACAAUGACUACAUACAGGGAAAGAAAAUGCAAAUAAACUGCUUUCAUUGAUAUAUUGAUGUAACACUUACCAUCUACAAGACAUGUGGCAAAUAUAAGGACUGCAAAUAGCACACAGGGCAACAUGUUUGUCUUCCAAGAAAGGAAAAGAAAUUAAGAAACAAACAUAAAGAGUCAUUCUGCUGCUUGGAAGCUUUAUUAGGGUAAUAUAACCUUUGUAAUAAAUACUGAUACAUCUUAUCUUUGACCUUUGUAGUCAAUGCAGCCAGAGAGAAUAAUAUACUGUAGAUAAUCGAUUUGUAAUAGCCAACACUUAAAGUCCAAUUUAAAAUGUCCGUGUUUUCCAGAUGGUCAGUAGAUCGUUGGAAUUUUUACACGACAUUGUAAAUACCUGGAUGAAUGAGAUGCAAGUGUUAUGCUGUCUUUUGAUGCAAGAGAGAAACUGCAUUUCAUUCACUUGUACACUGUUGCAUGUGGUUGAAUGACAAUAAACUUGAAUUUGAAACUUGA